CAUGGGGGAACGCCUUAAAUGCAAGUCGAACGGCAGCACGGAGCUUGCUCUGGUGGCGAGUGGCGAACGGGUGAGUAAUAUAUCGGAACGUACCCUAGAGUGGGGGAUAACGUAGCGAAAGUUACGCUAAUACCGCAUACGAUCUAAGGAUGAAAGUGGGGGAUCGCAAGACCUCAUGCUCGUGGAGCGGCCGAUAUCUGAUUAGCUAGUUGGUAGGGUAAAAGCCUACCAAGGCAUCGAUCAGUAGCUGGUCUGAGAGGACGACCAGCCACACUGGAACUGAGACACGGUCCAGACUCCUACGGGAGGCAGCAGUGGGGAAUUUUGGACAAUGGGCGAAAGCCUGAUCCAGCAAUGCCGCGUGAGUGAAAGAAAGGCCUUCGGGUUGUAAAGCUCUUUUGGUCCAAGGAAAGAAACGGUGAGGAGCCUAAUAUUCUUUUUGCUAAUGGACGGUAACUUGAAAGAAAUUAAGGCACCGGCUAAAUACGUGCCCAGCAGCCGCGGUAAUACGUAGGGUGCAAAGCGUUAAUCGGAAAUUACUGGGCGUAAAGCGUGCGCAGGCGGUUUUGUAAGUCUGAUGUGAAAUCCCCGGGCUCAACCUGGGAAUUGCAUUGGAGACUGCAAGGCUAGAAUCUGGCAGAGGGGGGUAGAAUUCCACGUGUAGCAGUGAAAUGCGUAGAUAUGUGGAGGAACACCGAUGGCGAAAGGCAGCCCCCUGGGUCAAGAUUGACGCUCAUGCACGAAAGCGUGGGGAGCAAACAGGAUUAGAUACCCUGGUAGUCCACGCCCUAAACGAUGUCUACUAGUUGUCGGGUCUUAAUUUGACUUGGUAACGCAGCUAACGCGUGAAGUAGACCGCCUUGGGGAGUACGGUCGCAAGAUUAAAACUCAAAGGAAUUGACGGGGACCCGCACAAGCGGUGGAUGAUGUGGAUUAAUUCGAUGCAACGCGAAAAACCUUACCUACCCUUUGACAUGGCUGGAAUCCUUGAAGAGAUCAGGGAGUGCUCGAAAGAGAACCAGGUACACAGGUGCUUGCAUGGCUGUCGUCAGCUCGUGUUCGUGAGAAGUUGGGUUAGUAGUCCCGCAACGAGCGCAACCCUUGCCAUAUAGUUGCCACCGAAAGGGCACUCUAAUGAGACUGCCGGUGACAAACCGGAGGAAGGUGGGGAUGACGUCAAGUCCUCAUGGCCCUUAUGGGUAGGGCUUCACACGUCAUACAAUGGUACAUACAGAGCGCCGCCAACCCGCGAGGGGGAGCUAAUCGCAGAAAGUGUAUCGUAGUCCGGAUUGUAGUCUGCAACUCGACUGCAUGAAGUUGGAAUCGCUAGUAAUCGCGGAUCAGCAUGUCGCGGUGAAUACGUUCCCGGGUCUUGUACACACCGCCCGUCACACCAUGGGAGCGGGUUUUACCAGAAGUAGGUAGCUUAACCGCAAGGAGGGCGCUACUAUUAGUGUUUCCCCCG
RNAcentral lists this ribosomal RNA (1465 nucleotides) under Janthinobacterium svalbardense. Its description in RNAcentral is "bacterial SSU rRNA". It matches the Rfam family "Bacterial small subunit ribosomal RNA". The record is from RNAcentral. Lineage: Bacteria; Pseudomonadati; Pseudomonadota; Betaproteobacteria; Burkholderiales; Oxalobacteraceae.